AAAUGAAUUGACGGGCACCCGCACAAGCGGUGGAGCAUGCUGUUUAAUUCGAAGGUACGCGAAGAACCUUACCAGGGCUUGACAUCCCUCUGACCGAUCUAGAGAUAGAUCUUUCCCUUCGGGGACAGGGGUGACAGGUGGUGCAUGGUUGUCGUCAGCUCGUGUCGUGAGAUGUUUGGUUAAGUCCAAUAACGAGCGCAACCCCUAUCCUUAGUUGCUAACAUUUAGUUGAGAACCCUAAGGAUACUGUCGGUGAUAAACCGGAGGAAGGUGGGGAUGACGUCAAAUCAUCAUGCCCCUUACGUCCUGGGCUACAGGCGUGCUACAAUGGCCGGUAUAGCAAGUUGCCACAUCGUAAGAUGGAGCUAAUCUAUAAAGCCGGUCCCAGUUCGGAUUGAGGUCUGCAACUCGACCUCAUGAAGUUGGAAUCGCUAGUAAUCCCAGAUCAGAAUGCUGGGGUGAAUACGUUCCCGGGUGUUGUACACACCGCCCGU
Molecule: ribosomal RNA, 494 nt
Filed under: uncultured bacterium
Lineage: Bacteria
Description: bacterial SSU rRNA
Rfam family: Bacterial small subunit ribosomal RNA
Source: RNAcentral